This 229-nucleotide ribosomal RNA is filed under the name uncultured eukaryote. Its description in RNAcentral is "partial 18S ribosomal RNA". It matches the Rfam family "Eukaryotic small subunit ribosomal RNA", at positions 1208 to 1456 of the family's 1831-position model. The record is from RNAcentral.
GGGAAACUUACCAGGUCCAGACAUAGUAAGGAUUGACCGACUGAUAGCUCUUUCGAGGUUCUAUGGGUGGUGGCGCAUGGCCGUUCUUAGUUGGUGGAGUGAUUUGUCUGGUUAAUUCCGUUAACGAACGAGACCUUAGCCUGCUAAAUAGGAUCCCCAACUUUCUAGUUGACGGAGGCCUUCUUAGAGGCACGUCGCCUGACUAACGCGAGGAAGUGUGAGGCAAUAA